UUGUUGUUGUCAUCUACCUCUGCUUGUGAUUAUUCUGUCGUGUUGCACAUCUCUGUGGUUCUCGUUCUGUGCAACUGCGUGCGUGCCUCCGCUGUACACGUUAUCAUCGCCGCCUGUUUCCGUCGACGACGUUGUAGUGCCCCUCCGUUCAUCCACAAGCGCACCCACCCACCCACCGCUAUUUAUAGACCGACUCUAUCUCUUCCCCACCACGCAAUCAUGAUCGAGGACCACGCCGAGUACGGCCACAACCACUACCCCCAGAAGCUGGCCAGCUCUACCCUCACCCUACCGAAGCAGGGAGCGAAGCAGCAGCAGUGGAGCCCCUACCAGGACAAUGGAGGCACGACGGCCGCUAUCGCUGGGAAGGACUUCGUCAUCCUCGCUGGUGACACUCGUCUGAAUGGUGACUACUGCCUUCACAGCCGCCAUGAUCAGAGCAAGAUCUUCCAACUGACGCCGUACACGUACAUGGCGAGCAACGGCAUGCAGGCGGACCGGCUGCAGCUCCAGCAGAUGCUCAAGUACCGCGUCAAGUGGUACCAGUACAACAACGGCGGUAGGGUGCCGCCGACCAAGGCAAUUGCGCAGCUCAUGUCCACGAUGCUGUACCACCGUCGCUUCUUCCCUUACUACACGUUCAAUAUGGUCGUUGGUCUGGAUGAGGAGGGGCACGGCGUGUGCUACAGCUACGACGCCGUCGGCUCAACGGAGCCCUUCCUGUACGGUACCCGGGGUAGCGCGGCCAGCUUCUUGGAGCCGGUGCUCGACUGCCUUAUCAACCGCCAACAUAUGACCGCCCAGGCACCGCCGGAGAUGACAAAGGAGGAGACGCUGGCGAUGCUCAAGAACGCCUUCACCGGCGCAGCCGAGCGCGACAUUUACACCGGCGACUCCGUCUCCUUCUUUAUCAUCACGAAGGACGGCGUGCAGCGGGAGAGCUUCGAGCUGCGCAAGGACUGAUGCGCACGCGCACGCGAGUAGCCGUGGCUGCAUCCCUUUGCCUCUCCCCUCCCUCCGUCUCUGUGUGCGUGCACCAGAGAGCGAGCACGAGAGGAGGGGGAAGGGGCAGCCAUCCAGGUGUUGAGAGGAGGCCAGCGCUGCCCCCCUCUCUCGUCUCCCUCCCGCAUCGACUGUGCAUGCGCAACGUGUUUUGUUUUUCGUUUUCGUUCUUGACUACGGCGGCGUCUCGCCUCGUCUCGUCUCUCUCUCCCCCCUUUCCUUCUACUCUGUUGUUGUCCUUGUUGAAUGAUGCCACCUGAUGUGCGGUGCUCGAUGAUGAUAGUGACGGUGGUGAUGAUUACAGCCGGCCAGCCCUUAUUGCUCUCUCACCGCCCCCCGCUCUUGUCUCUCUGUCUGUCUUCCACCUCUCUCUACGUAUGUAUGUGCGCCCUACACGCUACGGACCCACGCACGUGGCGUCUCUGCGGCUCCGUUUGUGUGCGUGGGCGCGCGCCCUUUUAGAUUUUCCUCUAUUCCUGUGAGAUGCGCGUGAUGGUGGUGCGCGAUGGGGGCUGGGCGGUGUUGCUCGCGGAAAAGCAUGUGAGCGCGUAUCUCUCUCUGACUUUUGACGCUGCGUGUGUGUGCCUGUGCAUAUCUGGUGAAACGGCAACAGGGAAGGCACUGAAAAGCCGCGGUGUCGCAGCGGCACACCUCCACAUAAAAACGCGUGGAUGGGGAGCGCGACGGUGAACACGCGUGCCUGCGCGCGCGUGUGUCUGUAUUUGUGUGUCGCAUUCUCACAGACACACACGCGCAGACACAAAGAUACGUACAGGCGGAAGUGGAUCGCUCACAAGCGGCUCGGGUAAGAGAGAGAGGGGUGGGCAGGCGCGCUACAGGCCGUGCACAUGGAGAGGAACAGAGCGCGUCUUUCUCUCGUUUUGUGUGUGAGAGUGUCAGCUGCGCCUCAGACUCACCUCCGGCGUCUCUCUGCCGCCGUUUUCUUUCCAACCAGAGUCGCAGCUGCCGGUGGGUGGGUGCGUAGAGCGCUUCCGGUGCCUCUGUGUGUGUGCUCACUCCCACACAUGCACACAUGCACACAUGCACACCUGCUCACGCUCGCUCUGGAAGGAAAGGCUCCGCUGGGCGUUGUGUGAUGUGCGCAUUCUCUCUCUCGUUCUAUCGUCUUCCCCAUCUUCUCCGCCCGGUGCUGCUCCCCCUCCCCUUCUCAUCGAAG
RNAcentral lists this unclassified non-coding RNA (2179 nucleotides) under Leishmania donovani. RNAcentral describes it as "gene:LdHU3.06.0180(CDS-product:20S_proteasome_bet a_6_subunit_putative)". Lineage: Eukaryota; Euglenozoa; Kinetoplastea; Trypanosomatida; Trypanosomatidae. The record is from RNAcentral.